Molecule: ribosomal RNA, 746 nt
Filed under: uncultured cyanobacterium
Lineage: Bacteria; Bacillati; Cyanobacteriota
Description: bacterial SSU rRNA
Rfam family: Bacterial small subunit ribosomal RNA
Source: RNAcentral
AGAGUUUGAUCCUGGCUCAGGACAAACGCUGGCGGCGUGCUUAAUACAUGCAAGUCGAACGGUCUACCUUCGGGUAGAUAGUGGCGGACGGGUGAGUAACGCGUGAGAAUCUGGCUUCAGGUUCGGGACAACAGUUGGAAACGGCUGCUAAUACCGGAUGUGCCUAAUGGUGAAAGAUUUAUCACCUGAAGAUGAGCUCGCGUCUGAUUAGCUAGUAGGUGUGGUAAGAGCGCACCUAGGCGACGAUCAGUAGCUGGUCUGAGAGGAUGAUCAGCCACACUGGGACUGAGACACGGCCCAGACUCCUACGGGAGGCAGCAGUGGGGAAUUUUCCGCAAUGGGCGAAAGCCUGACGGAGCAAUACCGCGUGAGGGAGGAAGGCUCUUGGGUUGUAAACCUCUUUUCUCAGGGAAGAAUGAUGGCGGUACCUGAGGAAUAAGCAUCGGCUAACUCCGUGCCAGCAGCCGCGGUAAUACGGAGGAUGCAAGCGUUAUCCGGAAUGAUUGGGCGUAAAGCGUCCGCAGGUGGCAAUGUAAGUCUGCUGUCAAAGCGUCUGGCUCAACCAGAUAAAGGCAGUGGAAACUACAUAGCUAGAGUAAGGUAGGGGUAGAGGGAAUUCCUGGUGUAGCGGUGAAAUGCGUAGAGAUCAGGAAGAACACCGGUGGCGAAAGCGCUCUGCUGGACCUUAACUGGCACUGAGGGACGAAAGCUAGGGGAGCGAAUGGGAUUAGAUACCCCCGUAGUCC